AGCCCGGUCGUCUAGCGGCCAAGCGCUCGGUCAGAUGCUGGGCUAGGGACCCCGCGGACGCCGGUUCGAAUCCGGCCCGGGCUA
This 84-nucleotide transfer RNA is filed under the name Nitrososphaeria archaeon. RNAcentral's name for it is "tRNA-Pro". It matches the Rfam family "tRNA". From Rfam's summary of the family: Transfer RNA (tRNA) molecules are approximately 80 nucleotides in length. The record is from RNAcentral. Lineage: Archaea; Thermoproteati; Nitrososphaerota; Nitrososphaeria.